CCCUUAGAUGUCCUGGGCCGCACGCGCGCUACACUGACAUGUUCAACAAGCCUCCUAGUUCGACAGGAUUUGGGAAAUCUUUGAACGCAUGUCGUGAUAGGGAUAGAUCAUUGCAAUUAUUGAUCUUGAACGAGGAAUUCCUAGUAAACGCGAGUCAUCAGCUCGCAUUGAUUACGUCCCUGCCCUUUGUACACACCGUCCGUCGCACCUACCGAUUGAAUGUUUCGGUGAAGAUUCCGGAUAGGACUUUUUUGAUUUAUUUCAAUUCUGUCUUAAAAGCUAUCUAAACCUCAACAUUUAGAGGAAGGUGAAGUCGUAACA
This 321-nucleotide ribosomal RNA is filed under the name uncultured eukaryote. RNAcentral's name for it is "partial 18S ribosomal RNA". It matches the Rfam family "Eukaryotic small subunit ribosomal RNA", at positions 1470 to 1796 of the family's 1831-position model. The record is from RNAcentral.